GGUAGCGCCCGAAGUCCGCUUAGCUAACCGUAAGGAGGCGGCGGCCGACGGCAAGACCGGUGACUGGGGUGAAGUCGUAACAAGGUAGCCGUAGGUGAACCUGCAGAAGGAUCA
This 114-nucleotide ribosomal RNA is filed under the name uncultured eukaryote. RNAcentral's name for it is "partial small subunit ribosomal RNA". It matches the Rfam family "Bacterial small subunit ribosomal RNA", at positions 1413 to 1525 of the family's 1533-position model. The record is from RNAcentral.